This 111-nucleotide ribosomal RNA is filed under the name uncultured eukaryote. RNAcentral describes it as "partial small subunit ribosomal RNA". It matches the Rfam family "Eukaryotic small subunit ribosomal RNA", at positions 1676 to 1794 of the family's 1831-position model. The record is from RNAcentral.
UCGCUGUUACCGAUUGAAUGACUUAGUGAGCUGCAGGGAUUGUAACAUUUGGCAACAAAUGUCAUAAAAACUGUAUCAAACUUGAUCAUUUAGAGGAAGCAAAAGUCGUAA